This 466-nucleotide ribosomal RNA is filed under the name uncultured bacterium. Its description in RNAcentral is "partial 16S ribosomal RNA". It matches the Rfam family "Bacterial small subunit ribosomal RNA", at positions 28 to 507 of the family's 1533-position model. The record is from RNAcentral.
GAUGAACGCUGGCGGCGUGCUUAACACAUGCAAGUCGAACGGAAAGGCUCCUGCUUGCAGGGGUACUCGAGUGGCGAACGGGUGAGUAACACGUGGGUGAUCUGCCCUGCACUUCGGGAUAAGCCUGGGAAACUGGGUCUAAUACCGGAUAGGACGAUGGUUUGGAUGCCAUUGUGGAAAGUUUUUUCGGUGUGGGAUGAGCUCGCGGCCUAUCAGCUUGUUGGUGGGGUAAUGGCCUACCAAGGCGUCGACGGGUAGUCGGCCUGAGAGGGUGUACGGCCACAUUGGGACUGAGAUACGGCCCAGACUCCUACGGGAGGCAGCAGUGGGGAAUAUUGCACAAUGGGCGCAAGCCUGAUGCAGCGACGCCGCGUGGGGGAUGACGGCCUUCGGGUUGUAAACUCCUUUCGCUAGGGACGAAGCGCAAGUGACGGUACCUGGAGAAGAAGCACCGGCUAACUACGUG